This 1906-nucleotide long non-coding RNA is filed under the name Cicer arietinum (chickpea). Its description in RNAcentral is "long non-coding RNA (CARI_LNC001431)". The record is from RNAcentral. Lineage: Eukaryota; Viridiplantae; Streptophyta; Magnoliopsida; Fabales; Fabaceae.
AAAGGGAUUUUAGAGAGACAUAAUGCUAUCAGCUUCUGCUAUUCUACCGCUUUGAAGAUUCGCCCCUUACAAGGAAAUAAUUUGUCUUCUCUCCGAAUCCACGCGCUCUCUCUUCUAUACUCCCUCUGCUUCUUCCUCUUCUUCUAAAGCUCUUGUUUCUGCUCAAACUAACAAGAGACCUGAAUGUAAUUCUUGAUAUAAUCUCAUAACUUGAUACAAUUUUCCAUUUUUGAAAUGUACUUGAAUUCAAUGACUCAUGCACCUCUCUUUCCUCUAUUUUUUGUUUAUAUUUUCUUUUUCUUUUUUGGUUCCACUCUGUGCUAGGUGACCUUCAGACUUACUCUGCUUAUGGUUUGGCCUUAAAAACGAGCUUACCAGAUGUCGCUCUAUGGUGUGAUGUGCAAUUAGGGGUGGUAAUAGGUCAGACUUUGAAAGGUCUGAGUCUGGCAUACGGAUUUCAGUCGAUUUUUGUCGGGUGGUAUGAAAAUUCCCCGAAAAGUCCAGAUGAAAUCGAGGACCGCAAGUCCUUAUAUCAUUCUUCUCCUAAACUUAUAACUGUGUUUCGGGUUGUGCAUCAGAUUUCAAAGACUUUCCAUCGUCCUGUCCAAAAAUACAGAUAGCGGUCCAUUUUUGUCGGGUAAUCUCCCGAAGAGUCCAGAUGAAAUUGAGGACCAGGAGACUCUUAUAGCAUUGUUAUCCUAAAUUUAUAAUUGUGUUUCGGGUUUCAGGUUAGAUUUCAAAUACUAGGCAUCUUCUGGUCCGAAAAUAUAGAUUUAUGUCCGUUUUUGUUGGGUGGUAGAAAAAUUGCCCGAAAAGUCCAGAAGAAAUCGAGGAUCGGGACACCCAUAUAACAUUCUUCUCCUAAAUUUAUAACUGUAUUUCGGAAUCCGCGUCAGAUUUCAAACAGUUGCCAUCGCCUGGUCCGAAAAUACGGAUUUCAUUCCAUUUUUGUCUAGUGGUACGAAAAUCGUCCGAAAAGUCUAGACGAAAUUGAGGACCGAGAGACCCUUAUAGCAUUCUUCUCCUAUAUUUAUAAUUGUGUUUUGGGUUCCGCGUCAGAUUUCAAACAUUAGCUAUCGUCUGAUCCGAAAAUACGGAUUACUGUCCAUUUUUGUCGAGGCUACGAAAAUUGCCCUAAAAGUCUAGAUAACAUCGAGGAACGGGAGACCCUUAUAGUAUUCUUCUCCUAAAUUUAUAAUUGUGUUUCGAGUAAGAUUUCAUGAAAGUAAGAGAAGAUCAAAAAUAGCUAUGUUGUUUUUCUUCUUGAAUUCAAUACCUUAUAUAUACAGUGGUUUGGUUGCUUCAUCACUUCACCAUUAACCGCCAAACUUGUUGGGAUGUGUAAACCACACGCUCUCUCUGCAAUACUCCCUGCUUCUAAAUUCUCUCUUUCUAGCUCUUGUUUCUGCUCAAACUAACAAGAGAUAUGAUUGGAAUACACUUACCGGUAGGUGUUAUUUUUUUCUUCUUUUUUGUGAUUUUUUCUUCACUUGCUUAUUGCAUAUUUAAGUAGAAGAAGAAUGUUUAUGAUUAUCAUUAUGAUUAGCUAUGAAGUGGAGGGUCUAAGCUUAGUUUAUAAUUAAACUUUGAUUUGUUAAUUUGGGCUUAGAAGGGAUUUGGCUUCUCAUAAAUGUUGCUUAAUUAAAUGGUUUACCACUAUGUUGAGAUGUUUAUGAAUAGAUUUAGAUAUACGACUCUUCAAUGCAAUAUAAGCAUAAUGAAUAUAUGAAAAACUGAUGUAUUUGGACCUGAAUGUAAUUCUUGAUAUAAUCUCAUAACUUGAUACAAUUUUCCAUUUUUGAAAUGUACUUGAAUUCAAUGACUCGUGCACCUCUCUUUGCUCUAUUUUUUGUUUAUAUAUUCUUUUUCUUUUUUGGUUCCACUCUGUGCUAGGUGGCCUUCAGAC